This 769-nucleotide ribosomal RNA is filed under the name uncultured bacterium. RNAcentral's name for it is "bacterial SSU rRNA". It matches the Rfam family "Bacterial small subunit ribosomal RNA", at positions 58 to 869 of the family's 1533-position model. The record is from RNAcentral.
CAAGUCGAACGCGUCCGCAAGGACGAGUGGCGCACGGGUGAGUAACGCGUGGAUACCUACCCAAGAGCACGGAAUAACCCAGGGAAACCUCGGCUAAUACCGUAUAUCACCCCAAGGGGGAAAGACGAAAGUCGCUCCAGGACGGGUCCGCGUCGGAUUAGGCUGUUGGUGCAGGUAACGGCUCACCAAACCUACAAUCCGUAGCUGGUUCGAGAGGACGACCAGCCACACUGGGACUGAGACACGGCCCAGACUCCUACGGGAGGCAGCAGUGAGGAAUCUUGGACAAUGGACGAAAGUCUGAUCCAGCCAUGUCGCGUGAGUGAAGAGGGCCCUAGGGUUGUAAAGCUCUUUCAGCGGGGAUGAUCAUGACAGUACCCGCACAAGAAGCCCCGGCUAACUUCGUGCCAGCAGCCGCGGUAAUACGAAGGGGGCUAGCGUUGUUCGGAUUUACUGGGCGUAAAGGGCGCGUAGGCGGUCGGCAAAGUGAAGGGUGAAAUCCUCGGGCCCAACCCGAGAACCGCCCCUCAAACUCGCCGACUCGAGUCCGGAAAAUGACGGCGGAACUCCCAGUGGAGAGGUGGAAUUCGUAGAGAUUGGGAAGAACACCAGUAGCGAAAGCGGCCGCCAGGUCCGAGACUGACGCUGAGGCGCGAAAGCGUGGGUAGCAAACAGGAUUAGAUACCCUGGUAGUCCACGCCGUAAACGAUGUGUGCCAGCUGUCGGGACGCCUCGCGUCUCGGCGGCGCAGCUAACGCCUUGAGCACAC